RNAcentral lists this ribosomal RNA (581 nucleotides) under uncultured bacterium. Its description in RNAcentral is "partial 16S ribosomal RNA". It matches the Rfam family "Bacterial small subunit ribosomal RNA", at positions 355 to 1376 of the family's 1533-position model. The record is from RNAcentral.
UGAGGAAUAUUGGUCAAUGGGCGAGAGCCUGAACCAGCCAAAUCGCGUGAAGGAAGACUGCCUUAUGGGUUGUAAACUUCUUUUAUACAGGAAUAAAAAAGGGGACGUGUCCCUUAUUGCAUGUACUGUAUGAAUAAGCAUCGGCUAACUCCGUGCCAGCAGCCGCGGUAAUACGGAGGAUGCGAGCGUUAUCCGGAUUUAUUGGGUUUAAAGGGUGCGCAGGCGGGCUUUUAAGUCAGCGGUGAAAUCUCGGGGCUUAACUCCGAAACUGCCGUUGAAACUGGGAGUCUUGAGUAUGGAUGAAGUAGGCGGAAUUCGUUGUGUAGCGGUGACAUGCUUAGAUAUAACGAGGAACUCCGAUUGCGUAGGCAGCUUACUAAGCCAUAACUGACGCUCAAGCACGAAAGCGUGGGGAUCAAAACAGGAUUAGAUACCCCUGGUAGUCCACGCCGUAAACGAUGAUUACUAGUUGUAUGCGAUAUACCGUAUGUGACUAAGCGAAAGCGAUAAGUAAUCCACCUGGGGAGUACGCCGGCAACGGUGAAACUUAAAUGAAUUGACGGGGUCAUAGCUGUUUCCUG